RNAcentral lists this ribosomal RNA (2130 nucleotides) under Escherichia coli 2-427-07_S4_C3. Its description in RNAcentral is "bacterial LSU rRNA". It matches the Rfam family "Bacterial large subunit ribosomal RNA", at positions 714 to 2826 of the family's 2925-position model. The record is from RNAcentral. Lineage: Bacteria; Pseudomonadati; Pseudomonadota; Gammaproteobacteria; Enterobacterales; Enterobacteriaceae.
CCCGAAACCCGGUGAUCUAGCCAUGGGCAGGUUGAAGGUUGGGUAACACUAACUGGAGGACCGAACCGACUAAUGUUGAAAAAUUAGCGGAUGACUUGUGGCUGGGGGUGAAAGGCCAAUCAAACCGGGAGAUAGCUGGUUCUCCCCGAAAGCUAUUUAGGUAGCGCCUCGUGAAUUCAUCUCCGGGGGUAGAGCACUGUUUCGGCAAGGGGGUCAUCCCGACUUACCAACCCGAUGCAAACUGCGAAUACCGGAGAAUGUUAUCACGGGAGACACACGGCGGGUGCUAACGUCCGUCGUGAAGAGGGAAACAACCCAGACCGCCAGCUAAGGUCCCAAAGUCAUGGUUAAGUGGGAAACGAUGUGGGAAGGCCCAGACAGCCAGGAUGUUGGCUUAGAAGCAGCCAUCAUUUAAAGAAAGCGUAAUAGCUCACUGGUCGAGUCGGCCUGCGCGGAAGAUGUAACGGGGCUAAACCAUGCACCGAAGCUGCGGCAGCGACGCUUAUGCGUUGUUGGGUAGGGGAGCGUUCUGUAAGCCUGUGAAGGUGUGCUGUGAGGCAUGCUGGAGGUAUCAGAAGUGCGAAUGCUGACAUAAGUAACGAUAAAGCGGGUGAAAAGCCCGCUCGCCGGAAGACCAAGGGUUCCUGUCCAACGUUAAUCGGGGCAGGGUGAGUCGACCCCUAAGGCGAGGCCGAAAGGCGUAGUCGAUGGGAAACAGGUUAAUAUUCCUGUACUUGGUGUUACUGCGAAGGGGGGACGGAGAAGGCUAUGUUGGCCGGGCGACGGUUGUCCCGGUUUAAGCGUGUAGGCUGGUUUUCCAGGCAAAUCCGGAAAAUCAAGGCUGAGGCGUGAUGACGAGGCACUACGGUGCUGAAGCAACAAAUGCCCUGCUUCCAGGAAAAGCCUCUAAGCAUCAGGUAACAUCAAAUCGUACCCCAAACCGACACAGGUGGUCAGGUAGAGAAUACCAAGGCGCUUGAGAGAACUCGGGUGAAGGAACUAGGCAAAAUGGUGCCGUAACUUCGGGAGAAGGCACGCUGAUAUGUAGGUGAAGUCCCUCGCGGAUGGAGCUGAAAUCAGUCGAAGAUACCAGCUGGCUGCAACUGUUUAUUAAAAACACAGCACUGUGCAAACACGAAAGUGGACGUAUACGGUGUGACGCCUGCCCGGUGCCGGAAGGUUAAUUGAUGGGGUCAGCGCAAGCGAAGCUCUUGAUCGAAGCCCCGGUAAACGGCGGCCGUAACUAUAACGGUCCUAAGGUAGCGAAAUUCCUUGUCGGGUAAGUUCCGACCUGCACGAAUGGCGUAAUGAUGGCCAGGCUGUCUCCACCCGAGACUCAGUGAAAUUGAACUCGCUGUGAAGAUGCAGUGUACCCGCGGCAAGACGGAAAGACCCCGUGAACCUUUACUAUAGCUUGACACUGAACAUUGAGCCUUGAUGUGUAGGAUAGGUGGGAGGCUUGGAAGUGUGGACGCCAGUCUGCAUGGAGCCGACCUUGAAAUACCACCCUUUAAUGUUUGAUGUUCUAACGUUGACCCGUAAUCCGGGUUGCGGACAGUGUCUGGUGGGUAGUUUGACUGGGGCGGUCUCCUCCUAAAGAGUAACGGAGGAGCACGAAGGUUGGCUAAUCCUGGUCGGACAUCAGGAGGUUAGUGCAAUGGCAUAAGCCAGCUUGACUGCGAGCGUGACGGCGCGAGCAGGUGCGAAAGCAGGUCAUAGUGAUCCGGUGGUUCUGAAUGGAAGGGCCAUCGCUCAACGGAUAAAAGGUACUCCGGGGAUAACAGGCUGAUACCGCCCAAGAGUUCAUAUCGACGGCGGUGUUUGGCACCUCGAUGUCGGCUCAUCACAUCCUGGGGCUGAAGUAGGUCCCAAGGGUAUGGCUGUUCGCCAUUUAAAGUGGUACGCGAGCUGGGUUUAGAACGUCGUGAGACAGUUCGGUCCCUAUCUGCCGUGGGCGCUGGAGAACUGAGGGGGGCUGCUCCUAGUACGAGAGGACCGGAGUGGACGCAUCACUGGUGUUCGGGUUGUCAUGCCAAUGGCACUGCCCGGUAGCUAAAUGCGGAAGAGAUAAGUGCUGAAAGCAUCUAAGCACGAAACUUGCCCCGAGAUGAGUUCUCCCUGACUCCUUGA